CAUUAAGAAGCUAAACUAGCAUUAACCUUUUAAGUUAAAGACUGGAAGCUCAGACCUUCCCUUAAUGA
Molecule: transfer RNA, 68 nt
Filed under: Neofelis nebulosa (Clouded leopard)
Lineage: Eukaryota; Metazoa; Chordata; Mammalia; Carnivora; Felidae
Description: tRNA-Lys
Rfam family: tRNA
About the family: Transfer RNA (tRNA) molecules are approximately 80 nucleotides in length. Their secondary structure includes four short double-helical elements and three loops (D, anti-codon, and T loops). Further hydrogen bonds mediate the characteristic L-shaped molecular structure. tRNAs have two regions of fundamental functional importance: the anti-codon, which is responsible for specific mRNA codon recognition, and the 3' end, to which the tRNAs corresponding amino acid is attached (by aminoacyl-tRNA synthetases). tRNAs cope with the degeneracy of the genetic code in two manners: having more than one tRNA (with a specific anti-codon) for a particular amino acid; and 'wobble' base-pairing, i.e. permitting non-standard base-pairing at the 3rd anti-codon position.
Source: RNAcentral